ACGGCUCCGAGAACUCCAAAAUAGAACCCGACGAUUUUCUGAUUCCCCCCCCUGCCGGAUCUUCCUCCCUGUUCGCCGGAGCUUCCUCCCUUAUCGCCCGAUGUUUCCACCUCUCCUGAUCUUCUCUCUCCACUCUUCUAAUCUCGUUUCUGUUUGUGCUCCACCUCUACAUUUUUUUGUUGUGAUCUCCUUACUUGAUUUUUAAGCUUCUAUUUUUUUUUUAAUUCCAGGUUUUUCCACAUUAAAUUCAAGAUUUCUAUUUUUUUAUAAAUUCAAAUUCCAAAUUUGUUUUUUUUUUCAAAUUACCCAUGGAUCAUCAAGAAAAUAAAACCAUGGAUACUCAUAAAGAUGAAUUGAAUGAAACCAUCGAUGAGGAGAAAACAAACAAAUCAUUGAUGCCCAAAAUCUAAUGAUCAGCGACUCCAACAAGGUGAAUUGUCUUUUCUGUCAUUUCAUAUCGAAAACAAAGAUUCCUCGAUUGAAAGAACAUAUAAUUGGAGGUGAUCAAGUGUUACAAAACAACAAAAAUUGUUAGAAACAAGGUGCUUGCUUAUGAGAAUACAAGGGAAGGCUAAAGCAAUGGUCAUCAAGAUGGCUAAAAAAUCAGUGUAUUUUGAGGAAGAUGAACAAUCUGAUGAUGAUGAUGUGGUGAUAGUUGAUGAUAACUAUAUAAUCUGCAUAAUUAGUCACUUCUACAAAUAUAUUACACUCUAUAAUAUAAGUUGGUUAAUAGACUGUUAUACUAGA
RNAcentral lists this long non-coding RNA (747 nucleotides) under Zostera marina. RNAcentral describes it as "long non-coding RNA (ZMAR_LNC000304)". Lineage: Eukaryota; Viridiplantae; Streptophyta; Magnoliopsida; Alismatales; Zosteraceae. The record is from RNAcentral.